ACCGCCAUUAGCUCAUCGGGAUAGAGCGUCAGCCUUCGAAGCUGGUUGCGCGAGGUUCGAGUCCCCGGUGGUGGUCCAU
Molecule: transfer RNA, 79 nt
Filed under: Escherichia coli O157:H7 str. EC4206
Lineage: Bacteria; Pseudomonadati; Pseudomonadota; Gammaproteobacteria; Enterobacterales; Enterobacteriaceae
Also listed under: 8 other names
Description: tRNA-Arg
Rfam family: tRNA
About the family: Transfer RNA (tRNA) molecules are approximately 80 nucleotides in length. Their secondary structure includes four short double-helical elements and three loops (D, anti-codon, and T loops).
Source: RNAcentral